RNA transcript from Oxyura jamaicensis (ruddy duck), 2845 nucleotides. It is a transcript of the gene named isocitrate dehydrogenase (NAD(+)) 3 catalytic subunit alpha, with no coding region annotated. NCBI's taxonomy places the organism in Eukaryota, Metazoa, Chordata, Aves, Anseriformes, Anatidae. The transcript is spliced from 12 exons. The record is from RefSeq and is a predicted model, not a curated record.
GCGCACGGCGCUGCCGGGGCGGGGCUCGUCCCGGUGCCGGUGCCGGUGCCGGGCUCCUCCCGGUUGCGGGCGCUGUGGCCGUGCCUGCGGGGCCUGCUGGGGCGCGGCGCCGGGCGAGCCAUGGCUGCAGCCGCGUGGAUGCCCGCGGUUUCGCGAUUGCUAGGUGCUUUCAAAAAUCAAAAACAGGUGACCAGAAGUUUUGGUAGUGCUGUACAAACAGUAACUUUAAUCCCAGGAGAUGGCAUAGGACCUGAAAUUUCUGCUGCUGUCAUGAAGAUCUUUGAUGCUGCCAAAGCUCCUAUUCAAUGGGAAGAGAGGAAUGUUACAGCUAUCCAAGGACCAGGAGGAAAGUGGAUGAUACCUCCGGAUGCCAAAGAAUCUAUGGAUAAAAACAAAAUGGGAUUAAAAGGCCCUUUAAAAACCCCAAUUGCUGCAGGACACCCAUCAAUGAAUCUGCUUCUGCGUAAAACCUUUGACCUUUAUGCAAACGUACGUCCCUGUGUCUCAAUUGAAGGAUACAAAACCCCUUACACAGAUGUAAACAUUGUCACGAUAAGAGAGAACACAGAAGGCGAAUACAGUGGAAUUGAACAUGUGAUUGUUGAAGGAGUCGUGCAAAGUAUCAAGCUAAUCACAGAGGGAGCUAGCAAGCGUAUUGCAGAGUUUGCUUUUGAGUAUGCCAGAAACAAUCAGAGAAGCCACGUUACUGCUGUACACAAGGCAAAUAUUAUGAGAAUGUCUGAUGGGCUUUUCUUGAGAAAAUGCAGGGAGGCAGCAGAAAACUGUAAAGAUAUUAAAUUUAAUGAAAUGUAUCUAGAUACUGUGUGUCUGAAUAUGGUUCAGGAUCCGUCACAAUUUGAUGUGCUUGUUAUGCCAAACUUGUACGGUGACAUCCUCAGUGACUUGUGUGCUGGUUUGAUUGGGGGUCUUGGAGUAACGCCAAGUGGGAACAUUGGUGCUAAUGGAGUUGCAAUUUUUGAAUCGGUUCAUGGAACAGCACCAGAUAUUGCAGGAAAAGACUUGGCAAAUCCAACUGCCCUUCUUCUGAGUGCUGUAAUGAUGUUGCGUCAUAUGGGACUACACGAGCAUGCCACAAAAAUCGAGACAGCUUGCUUUGAUACAAUUAAAGAUGGAAAGCUACCUUGCUGUGUGUAGGAGCCAGUUAAAAAUCAAACAAACAAAAAACUAAAGUUACAAGUGAAUAAAGAGGUGCUCCCGUAAAGUUCCCAUUUACUGCUCUGGAAAUGAAAUUCUCCAUCUGCAGGUCUUGACAAAAGACUUGGGAGGUAAUGCAAAGUGCUCAGAAUUCACAGAGGAGAUCUGCCGCAGAGUACAGGACACAGAUUAAACAUCUCAUACGGCUUGUAAUAACUCUGAAAGGAUGCAUCACAGAAGUACAUUAUGUAACCUGGUAUCUAUAUGCAUAUAACUUUGUUUGUCUCUUGAGAGCAAACUUUUUAGGAAGGGUCUCUUCAUUAAUAAACUUAGUCCAAAUGGCUACAGAUAAUACUUGUGCCUGCUUUCAUUUGUUUCUAGCUGGUGAACAUUGUUAUGUAAGUGAACUGUUUUAUUUUCUUGUAACUGUCUACCAUUUCAACUAGCUGGUUUUCACUUUCCACAAAGAAAAUUUAUGUGAAUAUAACGUUAACAGAAUUAGUGAAUUCUAAUGGCACCUUAAUGCUUAAAGCCUACUUUUAUUGGUCUUACUGAAACUCAAAAGGCAGGUUUUCAGCCUAACAAUAGCACAAUAUAACCUCCAUAAGAAGAAAUGGGUAUGAAAUAACAGCAAUUUUGCAUUAGAAGCAAUGAAAAAACACUUCCAGAUGCUCUGAUUCAUGAAAUACAGCUUUGUCUUUGAAAGGCAUGAAUAAGGAAGUGCAAAAAUCUAAACAUUUAGUCUAUGUACAUAAAGAAACAACGAACCAGCUAGGUGUGAGAAUAUUAACAAAGUUAUUUUUCACAUCUGUACCGAAGUUGUUCUUAAACAUUUUCCUCUCAAGCACAGCUUAAUUUACAACAGAGUUCUAAAGAGAGAAAAUUAUAAGAACUUACUUUUGUCAUAUAUUGUGAAGGAAAAGUAUUAACUCUGCCAAUUAAUACUGAAUGUUUUAUGGCUUCUGCUGUAUUGCUUUUUGUGUUGUACUUUGUCUUUAUGCAAUCUGUUCAGUGUAUCUCAUUGCACUGACUAGUAAUUUUAGUCUAACUCUGACUGUAAGGGACUGGUCCUAAAGGGAUUAAGAUAGAGUUGAAGGCUUGGCUCUGGUGCCUACAUUUCAGAAAUACAUUUCAUCCCUAUGCGAGGGAAUCUCAAAUUCUUUUUUCUUCCUGCUUACCAAGCCCAGCGAGCACAAAAGCACCUCUUUUCCUUCCCUCCUUCAUCACAUACAGGUCAUCAUGAGCCACCCUGACCUGGAUGUCUUAAGGUAUGCUUUCCAUUAGCAUAUCCUACAAGAAAAUGCACAUUUUUAGAACUCAUGGCUAUAGCAUGGGAUUAUACCUAGCAACAGAACCAGACUUCUUAAAGCUUUAUUCCGUUAGUAGGUAUUACUCCUCUUAGUUACUUUUCAUUGAGACUUUAGGCUGGUUGUUUCAGAAUUCCAACUUUGUUGGGUAAUGUCUUCUAGCAUUGCUCUAUGUAGUAAGUAUCUCAGCUGUUUUAUACAGCUUAAUGUGGAAGAGGGACAAUGAGCUUUAUUUCUUAUACACUCUGCUUUUGGUGAAUAAGAUGACAAUUCCUUCUAUGUUUUGCAAGCUGCUGGCUGUGUUGUUUCCUUUAAUCUUGUUUAAGAACUCCUGAAGUACAAUUACGCACAAAAUAGGGAAAAAUAAAGUUUUCCAAGUCCAA